This is a non-coding RNA of Dermacentor andersoni, 2566 nucleotides long. NCBI's taxonomy places the organism in Eukaryota, Metazoa, Arthropoda, Arachnida, Ixodida, Ixodidae. The record is from RefSeq and is a predicted model, not a curated record.
GUAGGUCUGCUUUAAAAUUAUGCGCUCCCAGCGCUACAUUUUUAACACAACCGACGCGCAAUAUUGCAAUAAGGAAUUAGAUAUGAAGACCCUUUACCAGUUGCAUAAUGCUAAAAUAGUCGCCGAGAUAGAAAAGUGAUAAACCCCAACACCGUCCGCAACACUCUUAUCUUAACAGCGCUUUUUUUUAAAUUCUUGCUCCAAGGAUCGAAACACACUGUCAGUUCGCUCUUGAGCCCGAUGGAAGUACAUGGAAGCCGAGACUCGAUAUGCUGACAACUGGUUCCACGCAGAACACACAACAGCUCUGGCAAAGACGGUGACAUCAGCAUCGCUUAGAUUUCCGCAAACUUGCGCAGUGCAGGAGCCGAGACGCUGACGCUGCGGCUGGUUCCGAUUUCUCCGAAGAGGGCUCGACGAGGAGUGUCCGAAGAGCGUGCGCUAAGCAAGGGCGACAACCGAGCAAAGGCACAACCUAGUAACCUGCGUGCGUGGCAAUAUCGACGAAGCAACCUCUCAGAAGCUCACAGAGGUGAAGGAGCACCUUCAUUGUGAGGACUUGGACUGCGUCUUCAAUAAGAUUUGUGAACACAGCCAUGAGACUCGCCAAGCACAGUCGAACGCCUUCCUCUCGGACGACGUCAAGGCCCAGGUUCGUGCUGCUCUGACGACGUGCCAGUCAAGCCACUGAUACUCCUCUUCAAUAAUUGAUCGCUGUGGCACAUCGCGAUAAACAUUAGAACCAUGUAUCCGUAGUAAACAUUUACUGCAUGUGUCAGAUCCAUUUCUAAACAUGUUCUUGCUUAAUGAAUAUAGAUAAAUGGGAAAGUACGCUACAUUGUAGCCGGCUAUAGAUGCAGGUAAAAAAUUGAAGUUCCCACUUUCUCGGCAAAAACCACGUACAUACGACCGACACGCAAACUACUAUAACUUUCAAAAACAAAAACAAAAAAAGAACAAAGCAUUCUAAAUGUCAAUAAACAGGAACGAUGGAACUAACAAGCUUCAUCCGAAAAAUUUGGGAUUGCUCAAAAAUGUCAACCUUUUUCGCCAAUAAAAUGCAGCAGACGACAGUGCAUCCAAAGGCACGUUUGUAAACGUUUUGACAAAAUAUGGAGAUUCUGUAUCAAAUUACUCAGUUUUGUAUUCGCCCGGAGAUUCUUGGUGGCUUGGGCAAUUCCUGUAUGUCGACCAUGAAAACUGCACUUUUAUUCUAUUAGGGGAGGCGAGGCUGGUGUAGUGUCUGCACAUUUUCGGAACUUUUGUUUUUCAGACUGUGAAUUGAGUGUAUUUGCGAUGUGGCCAAUUCCUUACAUAGCGCAGAACGGUGGAAACUAGGCCAAACACGUGGACGCCUUUAGACUUAUAGUAUGUUGGCAAAGACGUACUAUAUAGAUUCUCUACGGGGAAGCGCUUGAAGCCUGUUGAAGAUUAAAAAUAUCCUUUAAACCUAGUUUUUCUUUUCACUUCAUGCUAAAGAACGUUGGUGAAUUAUUGAUGAAAGAAAGGCCAAAGUACCUGUUCUUUUUAACUUUUUUAUCGGAACCUGAAUGUUGUCACGUGCGUGUAAUGUAGGGAAUAUCAUUUUUUAUUGUAUUUGGACCAUUAUGCCACCAAAUAAGUUCUCGCUUUCUAGGUUGAGUCUUCGGUUUAUUCACGACCGAGUGAACAAAAAGUCAUGACGUAUUUACCAGCCGGUGUGGCAAGCUUAACGGAAGCGCGUCGCCACCGAUGUUUUGUUUUAGCAGCUUUUCUCUCAUACCAAGAUUCUUCCUUGUAGUAAUGGGAAACAUCACUUUGUGAAGCGCAAGCUACAAGCACUGCUCCACUUAACCUUUUCCUUAAGUGUACAUUUCCCAGUCAACAUAAGGGUGCCGCACCGAACUAGAACUCAAUUGAUACCUGGAGCGGAACCGUUAUAUUCAGCUGAACCAACCCAUUAUUUUUCAGCCAUCUUGGAACCAAACCCGUACCGGAACUUAUUGGAGAGGCUGUUCGAACAGGUUUGAAAAGCGGUUCAGAAGGUCGUGUAGACGCUCCACUAGGACACGUUAGAGAGGAAAUGUGGGACAAAGGGUCAAAGCUUCUAUUAGUAUGAAACGAUUUCCAUGCUACAGGCAAGACUAAAAUAACUUCAAAUAGCCUCAACUCAGUUGCGACACAUGCGUUGUAAAUUUUGUGCUAGCCUAUCUUCCAUUUCGACAACGAAAACUGUAAACGCUCUACAUGUUACCGCGCAUCUUGCUCCACCAAAGGGACCGGAACAAUUCUGUUCAGCUUUCUGUUCUGUGUUGAUGCUGUACGCGGUCGGCUGAGCUGCAGUUGCAAUCCAGCUACUCACGAGAAAACUAUAGCGCUGAAAGUUGUAACGUUAAUCCUUUCCGUAGCCGCAUGGCGUCACGUAUGGCGCCACAGUGUGUCGUGCGACAACGACUGUUCGAUAAUGAGGGUAGAAAAGCAGUCCUGUUUCGUUAUACCUGUUAACGGCGGUUAGCUGGCCCGAUUAAGCAUGCGGUACACAGGAAUGUGUGUGGUUACAUGGAAUGAAUGAAUGAAUAAAACUUUG